CUCCGGGAAACCGGGGCUAAUACCGGAUAACAUUUUGAACCGCAUGGUUCGAAAUUGAAAGGUGGCUUCGGCUGCCACUUAUGGAUGGACCCGCGUCGCAUUAGCUAGUUGGUGAGGUAACGGCUCACCAAGGCAAUGAUGCGUAGCCGACCUGAGAGGGUGAUCGGCCACACUGGGACUGAGACACGGCCCAGACUCCUACGGGAGGCAG
This 211-nucleotide ribosomal RNA is filed under the name Bacillus anthracis (anthrax bacterium). RNAcentral describes it as "partial 16S ribosomal RNA". It matches the Rfam family "Bacterial small subunit ribosomal RNA", at positions 147 to 351 of the family's 1533-position model. Lineage: Bacteria; Bacillati; Bacillota; Bacilli; Caryophanales; Bacillaceae. The record is from RNAcentral.